Molecule: ribosomal RNA, 465 nt
Filed under: Vreelandella stevensii
Lineage: Bacteria; Pseudomonadati; Pseudomonadota; Gammaproteobacteria; Oceanospirillales; Halomonadaceae
Description: partial 16S ribosomal RNA
Rfam family: Bacterial small subunit ribosomal RNA
Source: RNAcentral
CCUACGGUGGGCAGCAGUGGGGAAUAUUGGACAAUGGGCGAAAGCCUGAUCCAGCCAUGCCGCGUGUGUGAAGAAGGCCUUCGGGUUGUAAAGCACUUUCAGUGGGGAAGAAAGCCUUGGGGCUAAUACCCUCGAGGAAGGACAUCACCCACAGAAGAAGCACCGGCUAACUCCGUGCCAGCAGCCGCGGUAAUACGGAGGGUGCGAGCGUUAAUCGGAAUUACUGGGCGUAAAGCGCGCGUAGGCGGUCUGAUAAGCCGGUUGUGAAAGCCCCGGGCUCAACCUGGGAACGGCAUCCGGAACUGGCAGGCUAGAGUGCAGGAGAGGAAGGUAGAAUUCCCGGUGUAGCGGUGAAAUGCGCAGAGAUCGGGAGGAAUACCAGUGGCGAAGGCAGCCUUCUGGACUGACACUGACGCUGAGGUGCGAAAGCAUGGGUAGCAAACAGGAUUAGAUACCCUAGUAGUC